RNAcentral lists this ribosomal RNA (253 nucleotides) under uncultured bacterium. RNAcentral's name for it is "partial 16S ribosomal RNA". It matches the Rfam family "Bacterial small subunit ribosomal RNA", at positions 524 to 776 of the family's 1533-position model. The record is from RNAcentral.
UACGUAGGGUGCAAGCGUUGUCCGGAAUUAUUGGGCGUAAAGAGCUCGUAGGCGGUUUGUCGCGUCGACCGUGAAAACUUGGGGCUCAACCCCAAGCCUGCGGUCGAUACGGGCAGGCUCGAGUUCGGUAGGGGAGACUGGAAUUCCUGGUGUAGCGGUGAAAUGCGCAGAUAUCAGGAGGAACACCGAUGGCGAAGGCAGGUCUCUGGGCCGAUACUGACGCUGAGGAGCGAAAGCGUGGGGAGCGAACAGG